This 269-nucleotide long non-coding RNA is filed under the name Panax ginseng (ginseng). RNAcentral describes it as "long non-coding RNA (PGIN_LNC012519)". The record is from RNAcentral. Lineage: Eukaryota; Viridiplantae; Streptophyta; Magnoliopsida; Apiales; Araliaceae.
UACAAUUUGAUGACCAUUAGAUGUUUUUACAAAAUAGUUAAUUUGCUCGAAAUUGUUAUAUCAAUGGUUGGAUUUUCUAGAUUUUAUUGUUUUGAAAGAUUGAGCUUCCGGCAGUGUAUGUAUCCUAAUAUUUAAGAUCGUAUUUCUGCUCUAGUCAUUUAAUAUAUCUUGUUUAUACUGCAGGGUUCUAGUACUAAUGAUAGGAUGCAUAAUAUAAAUUAGUAAAUGGUUAGUGGAGGAUUGUUAUUUAGAGAAGCAGAUUAGAGCCU